AUGUACCAUAACACCCUGUAUAUAGCCUCCUCAUUGACUCUGUACCGGUACGCCCUGUAUAUAGCCUCCACAUUGACUCUGUACUGGUACCCCCUGUAUAUAGUCUCCACAUUGACUCUGUACCAUAACACCCUGUAUAUAGCCUCCACAUUGACUCUGUACCGGUACGCCCUGUAUAUAGCCUCCACAUUGACUCUGUACCAGUACCCCCUGUAUAUAGCCUCCACAUUAACUCUGUCCCGGUACCCCCUGUAUAUAGCCUCCACAUUGACUCUGUACCGGUACCCCCUGUAUAUAGCCUCCACAUUGACUCUGUACCGGUACCCCCUGUAUAUAGCCUCCACAUUAACUCUGUCCCGGUACCCCCUGUAUAUAGCCUCCACACUGACUCUGUACCAGUACCAUCUGUAUAUAGCCUCCACAUUGACUCUGUACCAUAACACCCUGUAUAUAGCCUCCACAUUGACUCUGUACCAUAACACCCUGUAUAUAGCCUCCACACUGACUCUGUACCGGUACCCCCUGUAUAUAGCCUCCACAUUAACUCUGUCCCGGUACACCCUGUAUAUAGCCUCCACACUGACUCUGUACCAGUGCCAUCUGUAUAUAGCCUCCACAUUGACUCUGUACCAUAACACCCUGUAUAUAGUCUCCACAUUGACUCUGUACCGGUACCCCCCCUGUAUAUAGCCUCCACAUGACUCUGUACCGGUAGCCCCUGUAUAUAGCCUCCCACAUUGACUAUGUACCAUAACACCCUGUAUAUAGCCUCCACAUUGACUCUGUACCGGUACCCCCUGUAUAUAGCCUCCUCAUUGACUCUGUACCGGUACGCCCUGUAUAUAGCCUCCACAUUGACUCUGUACUGGUACCCCCUGUAUAUAGCCUCCACAUUGACUCUGUACCAUAACACCCUGUAUAUAGCCUCCACAUUGACUCUGUACCGGUACCCCCUGUAUAUAGCCUCCACAUUGACUCUGUACCGGUACCCCCUGUAUAUAGCCUCCACAUUAACUCUGUCCCGGUACCCCCUGUAUAUAGCCUCCACAUUGACUCUGUACCGGUACCCCCUGUAUAUAGCCUCCACAUUGACUCUGUACCGGUAGCCCCUGUAUAUAGCCUCCACAUUGACUAUGUACCAUAACACCCUGUAUAUAGCCUCCACAUUGACUCUGUACCGGUACCCCCUGUAUAUAGCCUCCUCAUUGACUCUGUACCGGUACGCCCUGUAUAUAGCCUCCACAUUGACUCUGUACUGGUACCCCCUGUAUAUAGUCUCCACAUUGACUCUGUACCAUAACACCCUGUAUAUAGCCUCCACAUUGACUCUGUACCGGUACCCCCUGUAUAUAGCCUCCACAUUGACUCUGUACCAGUACCCCCUGUAAUAUAGCCUCCACAUUAACUCUGUCCCGGUACCCCUGUAUAUAGCCUCCACAUUGACUCUGUACCGUACCCCCUGUAUAUAGCCUCCACAUUGACUCUGUACCGGUACCCCCUGUAUAUAGCCUCCACAUUAACUCUGUCCCGGUACCCCCUGUAUAUAGCCUCCACACUGACUCUGUACCAGUACCAUCUGUAUAUAGCCUCCACAUUGACUCUGUACCAUAACACCCUGUAAUAUAGCCUCCACAUUGACUCUGUACCAUAACACCCUGUAUAUAGCCUCCACACUGACUCUGUACCGGUAACCCCCUGUAUAU
Long non-coding RNA from Oncorhynchus kisutch (coho salmon), 1703 nucleotides. Lineage: Eukaryota; Metazoa; Chordata; Actinopteri; Salmoniformes; Salmonidae. The record is from Ensembl.